GCGGGUUUAGCUCAGUUGGUAGAGCGUUUGCUUCCCAAGCAAAAUGUCGUGAGUUCGAGUCUCAUAACCCGCU
RNAcentral lists this transfer RNA (73 nucleotides) under Anaerolinea sp. RNAcentral's name for it is "tRNA-Gly". It matches the Rfam family "tRNA". From Rfam's summary of the family: Transfer RNA (tRNA) molecules are approximately 80 nucleotides in length. The record is from RNAcentral. RNAcentral also lists the same sequence under 1 other name. Lineage: Bacteria; Bacillati; Chloroflexota; Anaerolineae; Anaerolineales; Anaerolineaceae.